Molecule: ribosomal RNA, 512 nt
Filed under: uncultured bacterium
Lineage: Bacteria
Description: partial 16S ribosomal RNA
Rfam family: Bacterial small subunit ribosomal RNA
Source: RNAcentral
GACGAACGCUGGCGGCGUGCCUAAUACAUGCAAGUCGAGCGGAACUGGGGGAGCUUGCUCCUUCCAGUUUAGCGGCGGACGGGUGAGUAACACGUGGGCAACCUGCCCUGCAGAUCGGGAUAACUCCGGGAAACCGGUGCUAAUACCGAAUAGUUUGGCGCCUCCCCUGAGGCGCUACGGAAAGACGGUUUCGGCUGUCACUGCAGGAUGGGCCCGCGGCGCAUUAGCUAGUUGGUGGGGUAACGGCCCACCAAGGCGACGAUGCGUAGCCGACCUGAGAGGGUGACCGGCCACACUGGGACUGAGACACGGCCCAGACUCCUACGGGAGGCAGCAGUAGGGAAUCUUCCGCAAUGGACGCAAGUCUGACGGAGCAACGCCGCGUGAGUGACGAAGGUUUUCGGAUCGUAAAACUCUGUUGUGAGGGAAGAACACGUACCAACUAACUAUUGGUACCUUGACGGUACCUCGCCAGAAAGCCACGGCUAACUACGUGCCAGCAGCCGCCGUAA